CGGAGGAAAAGAAACUAACAAGGAUUCCCCUAGUAACUGCGAGUGAAGCGGGAAAAGCUCAAAUUUAAAAUCUGGCAGUCUUUGGCUGUCCGAGUUGUAAUCUAGAGAAGUGUUAUCCGCGCUGGACCGUGUACAAGUCUCCUGGAAUGGAGCGUCAUAGAGGGUGAGAAUCCCGUCUUUGACACGGACUACCAGGGCUUUGUGAUGCGCUCUCAAAGAGUCGAGUUGUUUGGGAAUGCAGCUCAAAAUGGGUGGUAAAUUCCAUCUAAAGCUAAAUAUUGGCGAGAGACCGAUAGCGAACAAGUACCGUGAGGGAAAGAUGAAAAGAACUUUGGAAAGAGAGUUAAACAGUACGUGAAAUUGCUGAAAGGGAAACGCUUGAAGUCAGUCGCGUCGUCCAGGGAUCAACCUUGCUUUUGCUUGGUGCACUUUCUGGUUGACGGGUCAGCAUCAAUUUUGACCAUUGGAAAAAGAUCAAGGGAAUGUGACAUCUUUGGAUGUGUUAUAGCCCUUGGUUGCAUACGAUGGUUGGGAUUGAGGAACUCAGCACGCCGCAAGGCCGGGUUUUUAACCACGUACGUGCUUAGGAUGCUGGCAUAAUGGCUUUAAUCGACCCGUCUUGAAACACGGACCAAGGAGUCUAACAUGCCUGCGAGUGUUUGGGUGGAAAACCCGAGCGCGUAAUGAAAGUGAAAGUUGAGAUCCCUGUCGUGGGGAGCAUCGACGCCCGGACCAGACCUUUUGUGACGGUUCCGCGGUAGAGCAUGUAUGUUGGGACCCGAAAGAUGGUGAACUAUGCCUGAAUAGGGUGAAGCCAGAGGAAACUCUGGUGGAGGCUCGUAGCGAUUCUGACGUGCAAAUCGAUCGUCAAAUUUGGGUAUAGGGGCGAAAGACUAAUCGAACCAUCUAGUAGCUGGUUC
RNAcentral lists this ribosomal RNA (920 nucleotides) under Cortinarius croceus. RNAcentral describes it as "eukaryotic LSU rRNA". It matches the Rfam family "Eukaryotic large subunit ribosomal RNA", at positions 51 to 957 of the family's 3401-position model. Lineage: Eukaryota; Fungi; Basidiomycota; Agaricomycetes; Agaricales; Cortinariaceae. The record is from RNAcentral.